UUCCAAAUUUACUAUGCGUGUUUUCUACCAUUUGCAAAUUUCAUCGUAAUUAAAGAACUGUAUUGGCGAGAAAGAGUACUUUGCUUGGGACCGGCGGGGAUAUUCCUAUUUAUUCGGACCUGGUGGGGACCACCACGAGCGACUCUGUUUUUACCGUACACAUGGAAAUUACAGGAUUUUUAGAAUAUCCCAUAAAUAAUUUGGAAGCUAUGUCGUACAAUUUUGAUGGAUAUCUCAUUGAAUUUGUAUUUUUUUAGUUCAUAAUUUUAUGACAGAAAUUUACUGAGCUUAAUAUAAUUUCGCAAUUAACCCUAAACAACAUCCAGACCUUUUAAUGUAGUUAUCUGUUAAAUUAUCCCAUAAUUUCUUUACGGAAUAAAAGUUUGACAAAAUUUGGAAAUAUUUUUAUAAUAAAACUAGAAAUUGAA
Folsomia candida is the source of this 428-nucleotide long non-coding RNA. RefSeq lists it as uncharacterized. NCBI's taxonomy places the organism in Eukaryota, Metazoa, Arthropoda, Collembola, Entomobryomorpha, Isotomidae. The transcript is spliced from 2 exons. The record is from RefSeq and is a predicted model, not a curated record.